UACGGAGGGUGCAAGCGUUAUCCGGAUUCACUGGGUUUAAAGGGUGCGUAGGUGGGUUGGUAAGUCAGUGGUGAAAUCUCCGAGCUUAACUUGGAAACUGCCAUUGAUACUAUCAGUCUUGAAUAUUGUGGAGGUCAGCGGAAUAUGUCAUGUAGCGGUGAAAUGCUUAGAUAUGACAUAGAACACCAAUUGCGAAGGCAGCUGGCUACACAUAUAUUGACACUGAGGCACGAAAGCGUGGGGACCAAACAGG
RNAcentral lists this ribosomal RNA (253 nucleotides) under uncultured bacterium. RNAcentral describes it as "partial 16S ribosomal RNA". It matches the Rfam family "Bacterial small subunit ribosomal RNA", at positions 524 to 776 of the family's 1533-position model. The record is from RNAcentral.